GACAGAGGGUGCAAACGUUGUUCGGAAUUACUGGGCGUAAAGCGAGUGUAGGCGGUCUCGUAAGUCGGAUGUGAAAGCCCCGGGCUCAACCCGGGAAGUGCACUCGAUACUGCGAGGCUAGAGUACUGGAGAGGUUGGUGGAAUUCUCGGUGUAGAGGUGAAAUUCGUAGAUAUCGAGAGGAACACCGGUGGCGAAGGCGGCCAACUGGACAGAUACUGACGCUGAGGUGCGAAAGCGUGGGGAGCAAACAGG
This 253-nucleotide ribosomal RNA is filed under the name uncultured bacterium. RNAcentral's name for it is "partial 16S ribosomal RNA". It matches the Rfam family "Bacterial small subunit ribosomal RNA", at positions 524 to 776 of the family's 1533-position model. The record is from RNAcentral.